RNAcentral lists this ribosomal RNA (965 nucleotides) under Polaribacter dokdonensis. RNAcentral's name for it is "bacterial SSU rRNA". It matches the Rfam family "Bacterial small subunit ribosomal RNA", at positions 90 to 1061 of the family's 1533-position model. Lineage: Bacteria; Pseudomonadati; Bacteroidota; Flavobacteriia; Flavobacteriales; Flavobacteriaceae. The record is from RNAcentral.
GACGACCGGCGCACGGGUGCGUAACGCGUAUAGAACCUACCUUUUACAGAGGGAUAGCCUUUAGAAAUGAAGAUUAAUACCUCAUAGUAUUGCGAUUUGGCAUCAGGUUGUAAUUAAAGAUUUAUCGGUAAAAGAUGGCUAUGCGUCCUAUUAGUUAGUUGGUGAGGUAACGGCUUACCAAGACAUCGAUAGGUAGGGGUCCUGAGAGGGAGAUCCCCCACACUGGUACUGAGACACGGACCAGACUCCUACGGGAGGCAGCAGUGAGGAAUAUUGGACAAUGGAGGAGACUCUGAUCCAGCCAUGCCGCGUGCAGGAAGACUGCCCUAUGGGUUGUAAACUGCUUUUAUACAGGAAGAAACACUAGUACGUGUACUAACUUGACGGUACUGUAAGAAUAAGGACCGGCUAACUCCGUGCCAGCAGCCGCGGUAAUACGGAGGGUCCGAGCGUUAUCCGGAAUCAUUGGGUUUAAAGGGUCCGCAGGCGGUCGAUUAAGUCAGAGGUGAAAUCCCAUAGCUUAACUAUGGAACUGCCUUUGAUACUGGUUGACUUGAGUCAUAUGGAAGUAGAUAGAAUGUGUAGUGUAGCGGUGAAAUGCAUAGAUAUUACACAGAAUACCGAUUGCGAAGGCAGUCUACUACGUAUGUACUGACGCUCAUGGACGAAAGCGUGGGGAGCGAACAGGAUUAGAUACCCUGGUAGUCCACGCCGUAAACGAUGGACACUAGUUGUUGGGAUUUAUCUCAGUGACUAAGCGAAAGUGAUAAGUGUCCCACCUGGGGAGUACGAUCGCAAGAUUGAAACUCAAAGGAAUUGACGGGGGCCCGCACAAGCGGUGGAGCAUGUGGUUUAAUUCGAUGAUACGCGAGGAACCUUACCAGGGCUUAAAUGUAGUAUGACAGGUUUAGAGAUAGACUUUUCUUCCGACAUAUUACAAGGUGCUGCAUGGUUGUCGUCAGCUC